RNAcentral lists this ribosomal RNA (429 nucleotides) under Gemmatimonadota bacterium. RNAcentral's name for it is "Gemmatimonadetes bacterium partial 16S ribosomal RNA". It matches the Rfam family "Bacterial small subunit ribosomal RNA", at positions 355 to 776 of the family's 1533-position model. The record is from RNAcentral. Lineage: Bacteria; Pseudomonadati; Gemmatimonadota.
UAGGGAAUCUUCGGCAAUGGACGAAAGUCUGACCGAGCAACGCCGCGUGAGUGAAGAAGGUUUUCGGAUCGUAAAACUCUGUUGUUAGAGAAGAACAAGGACGUUAGUAACUGAACGUCCCCUGACGGUAUCUAACCAGAAAGCCACGGCUAACUACGUGCCAGCAGCCGCGGUAAUACGUAGGUGGCAAGCGUUGUCCGGAUUUAUUGGGCGUAAAGCGAGCGCAGGCGGUUUCUUAAGUCUGAUGUGAAAGCCCCCGGCUCAACCGGGGAGGGUCAUUGGAAACUGGGAGACUUGAGUGCAGAAGAAGAGAGUGGAAUUCCAUGUGUAGCGGUGAAAUGCGUAGAUAUAUGGAGGAACACCAGUGGCGAAGGCGGCUCUCUGGUCUGUAACUGACGCUGAGGCUGGAAAGCGUGGGAAGCAAACAGG